This 431-nucleotide ribosomal RNA is filed under the name uncultured bacterium. Its description in RNAcentral is "partial 16S ribosomal RNA". It matches the Rfam family "Bacterial small subunit ribosomal RNA", at positions 29 to 506 of the family's 1533-position model. The record is from RNAcentral.
AACGAACGCUGGCGGCAUGCCUAACACAUGCAAGUCGAACGAGACCUUCGGGUCUAGUGGCGCACGGGUGCGUAACGCGUGGGAACCUGCCCUUAGGUUCGGAAUAACUCCCCGAAAGGGGUGCUAAUACCGGAUAAUGUCUUCGGACCAAAGAUUUAUCGCCUUUGGAUGGGCCCGCGUUGGAUUAGCUAGUUGGUAGGGUAAAAGCCUACCAAGGCGACGAUCCAUAGCUGGUCUGAGAGGAUGAUCAGCCACACUGGGACUGAGACACGGCCCAGACUCCUACGGGAGGCAGCAGUGGGGAAUAUUGGACAAUGGGCGAAAGCCUGAUCCAGCAAUGCCGCGUGAGUGAUGAGGCCUUAGGGUUGUAAAGCUCUUUUACCCGGGAUGAUAAUGACAGUACCGGGAGAAUAAGCUCCGGCUAACUCCGU